Long non-coding RNA from Balaenoptera acutorostrata (minke whale), 565 nucleotides. RefSeq lists it as uncharacterized. NCBI's taxonomy places the organism in Eukaryota, Metazoa, Chordata, Mammalia, Artiodactyla, Balaenopteridae. The transcript is spliced from 3 exons. The record is from RefSeq and is a predicted model, not a curated record.
UCGCGGCCUCCUACCUCUCUUUCUCCAGGCACCUCACACUUAAAUCACGGGUGGAAGGCAGGCUCGGUUCCCCUUGCGCCUGGAAGCUGCUGCCCCCUCCCUUGCUCACACCGGGUUUUGCAGCAGUGGCGGCAGCUGCCACUGAUUCCGGCACUGGGGAAGCAAUUGAUACCUCUACUGCCAGCAGCGCGGAGUCGUCUACGCGGACGACAGAGAGAAAGAGAGAGGAGAGAGAGAGAGAGAGAGAGAGAGAGAGAGAGAUUGAUUCACAGAGCAAAAACCUUCAUCCAUGUGGAGGGCAGUCUGAGGGAGCCACUCUGUGCCUUGUCCACUGAGUGGUCUGAGUUUUCUCCUCUUCUGGCAGUGGCAUCUCUACUGAGCUUUCAAACCAAGUCAUCCGGAGUUAGCAUUUUCCCACCCGGCAGGGAAGAGAGGAGUUGGCAAGAAUUUGGCUCACCCAUUCCCCCUGCAAUCCUCUGGUGUCGCGAGAGUUUGUGACUUUCUAACAAAAACCACCAUGACAUAUGGACCUGUCUUCUGUUCUUUAUCGCCUUCAAGAGGGGAG